This 306-nucleotide ribosomal RNA is filed under the name Vibrio parahaemolyticus. RNAcentral's name for it is "bacterial SSU rRNA". It matches the Rfam family "Bacterial small subunit ribosomal RNA", at positions 904 to 1209 of the family's 1533-position model. The record is from RNAcentral. Lineage: Bacteria; Pseudomonadati; Pseudomonadota; Gammaproteobacteria; Vibrionales; Vibrionaceae.
AAUGAAUUGACGGGGGCCCGCACAAGCGGUGGAGCAUGUGGUUUAAUUCGAUGCAACGCGAAGAACCUUACCUACUCUUGACAUCCAGAGAACUUUCCAGAGAUGGAUUGGUGCCUUCGGGAACUCUGAGACAGGUGCUGCAUGGCUGUCGUCAGCUCGUGUUGUGAAAUGUUGGGUUAAGUCCCGCAACGAGCGCAACCCUUAUCCUUGUUUGCCAGCGAGUAAUGUCGGGAACUCCAGGGAGACUGCCGGUGAUAAACCGGAGGAAGGUGGGGACGACGUCAAGUCAUCAUGGCCCUUACGAGU